GGUAUUCUGACUGUGCUAAGGUAGCAUAAUCAUUUGCUUCUUAAUUGGCAGCUGGAAUGAAAGGUUAAACUAACUUAGCUAGUUUGGUUUUCUAAUUAGGAGCUUUAAGUCAAGGUAAAAAUUCUUUGAUAGGCUAGGGGACGAUAAGACCCUAGAAGCUUAAUAAUAAGAUAGGGUAUUAGUUAUACCAAGAAUUUUGUUUUACUGGGGCGGUAAGUAUGUUUAAACCAUUUAGGUUUUAGCUGAGCCCCUAUAUAGGGAUAGGUUGGUGUAGUUACUCUAGGGAUAACAGUGCUAUAUUUUUGGAGAGACCUUAUCGAUAAAUAUUUUUGCAACCUCGAUGUUGAAUUAAGAUUUCUGCGUGAAGUAGAAGGUACGUGAGAGGGUUUGUUCAACCUUUAAAGUCUUACAUGAUCUGAGUUCAAACCGG
This 430-nucleotide ribosomal RNA is filed under the name Asprogammarus sp. VNM-2020. RNAcentral describes it as "Asprogammarus sp. 39.2 partial large subunit ribosomal RNA". It matches the Rfam family "Bacterial large subunit ribosomal RNA", at positions 1935 to 2619 of the family's 2925-position model. The record is from RNAcentral. Lineage: Eukaryota; Metazoa; Arthropoda; Malacostraca; Amphipoda; Acanthogammaridae.